GACGAACGCUGGCGGCGUGCUUAACACAUGCAAGUCGAACGGAAAGGCCCUGCUUUUGUGGGGUGCUCGAGUGGCGAACGGGUGAGUAACACGUGAGUAACCUGCCCUUGACUUUGGGAUAACUCCAGGAAACUGGGGCUAAUACCGGAUAGGAGCUCCUGCUGCAUGGUGGGGGUUGGAAAGUUUCGGCGGUUGGGGAUGGAUUCGCGGCUAAUCAGCUUGUUGGUGGGGUAGUGGCUUACCAAGGCUUUGACGGGUAGCCGGCCUGAGAGGGUGACCGGCCACAUUGGGACUGAGAUACGGCCCAGACUCCUACGGGAGACAGCAGUGGGGAAUAUUGCACAAUGAGCGGAAGCCUGAUGCAGCAACGCCGCGUGCGGGAUGACGGCCUUCGGGUUGUAAACCGCUUUCACCUGUGACGAAGCGUGAAUGACGGUAAUGGGUGAAGAAGCACCGGCUAACUACGUG
Molecule: ribosomal RNA, 468 nt
Filed under: uncultured bacterium
Lineage: Bacteria
Description: partial 16S ribosomal RNA
Rfam family: Bacterial small subunit ribosomal RNA
Source: RNAcentral